This 491-nucleotide ribosomal RNA is filed under the name uncultured bacterium. RNAcentral describes it as "bacterial SSU rRNA". It matches the Rfam family "Bacterial small subunit ribosomal RNA", at positions 28 to 521 of the family's 1533-position model. The record is from RNAcentral.
GAUGAACGCUGGCGGCAUGCCUAACACAUGCAAGUCGAACGGACUCUUAUAUUAGAAAAUCUCUACAUGCUUAGAGGUUCCCUAAUAUCAGAGUUAGUGGCGGACGGGUGAGUAACACGUUAGUACCUGCCCUUCAGUGGGGAAUAACUCGGCGAAAGUCGAGCUAAUACCGCAUAGGCUCGUUUACGAGUAAAGACUUCGGUCGCUGAAGGAGGGGCUUGCGUCUGAUUAGCUAGUUGGUGGGGUAACGGCCUACCAAGGCGAUGAUCAGUAGCUGGUCUGAGAGGAUGAUCAGCCACACUGGGACUGAGACACGGCCCAGACUCCUACGGGAGGCAGCAGUGGGGAAUAUUGGACAAUGGGCGAAAGCCUGAUCCAGCAAUGCCGCGUGGAUGAAGAAGGUCUUCGGAUUGUAAAGUCCUUUCGGCGGGGACGAUGAUGACGGUACCCGCAGAAGAAGCCCCGGCUAACUUCGUGCCAGCAGCCGCGGU